UACGUAGGCAGCGAGCGUUGUUCGGAAUUACUGGGCGUAAAGAGUGUGUAGGCGGUGCUCUAAGUUCGGUGUGAAAUCUCCUGCUCAACUGGGAGGUGCGCCGGAAACUGGAGUGCUUGAGCGUGGGAGAGGAAAGCGGAAUUCCUGGUGUAGCGGUGAAUGCGUAGAUAUCAGGAGGAACACCUGUGGUGUAGACGGCUUUCUGGACCAUAGCUGACGCUGAGGUGCGAAAGCGUGGGAGCAAACAGG
This 249-nucleotide ribosomal RNA is filed under the name uncultured bacterium. RNAcentral's name for it is "partial 16S ribosomal RNA". It matches the Rfam family "Bacterial small subunit ribosomal RNA", at positions 524 to 776 of the family's 1533-position model. The record is from RNAcentral.